Molecule: ribosomal RNA, 429 nt
Filed under: Fusobacteriota bacterium
Lineage: Bacteria; Fusobacteriati; Fusobacteriota
Description: Fusobacteria bacterium partial 16S ribosomal RNA
Rfam family: Bacterial small subunit ribosomal RNA
Source: RNAcentral
UGGGGAAUAUUGCGCAAUGGGCGAAAGCCUGACGCAGCGACGCCGCGUGAGGGAUGAAGGUUUUCGGAUCGUAAACCUCUGUCAGAAGGGAAGAAACCGCACUGUGCUAAUCAGCAGUGCCUUGACGGUACCUUCAAAGUAAGCACCGGCUAACUCCGUUCCAGCAGCCGCGGUAAUACGGAGGGUGCAAGCGUUAAUCGGAAUUACUGGGCGUAAAGCGCACGUAGGCUGCUUUGUAAGUCAGGGGUGAAAUCCCACGGCUCAACCGUGGAACUGCCUUUGAUACUGCUUAGCUUGAAUCCGGGAGAGGGUGGCGGAAUUCCAGGUGUAGGAGUGAAAUCCGUAGAUAUCUGGAGGAACAUCAGUGGCGAAGGCAGCCACCUGGACCGGUAUUGACGCUGAGGUGCGAAAGCGUGGGGAGCAAACAGG